CUCAUCAUCAUCUCUCUCAUCUCCCACACACACACAUUUUCGAAAUAGCAUAAGGAAAAGAAGAAGAGAGAAAAGAGCUUAGUCUUCCACUUGUGAUCAAGAAUUCCUAAGCAUCCCUUCAACUCAAGUGUUCUAGUAUAGGAUCUUUGGUUAAAGGUUCAAAGGAGGAAAUCAUCCACUUUCUACGGUUUUAAAAUCUUCUUGGGAGAUGUUGUCUAGUAUGGGCUCCUGAAGCCCGAUGAGUUCUGAAGAGGAUGGAAGUCGAGGUUGAGGACUACCCUAUCAUAGAAUAGACACCGUGGAAGAAUUAUUUCCAUACGUACAUAUUUGUAUGUUGACAUAGUUAUUUGAGGAUUGUAAGUUUAGCCUUAGCGUUUGGGUAUAGGAGAGAUACCUAAGCGUGGCGGUAACACCCAGUUUUCUGCUGGUUAGACGCUUCCGCAAUGUAUUGUAUUAUUAGGAAUUUUGUAAUAAAUCCAAGUGGUGAAAAUUGGGGUGUUACACAGCUAAUGCUAUUAAAACCAAAUAUGUUAACCCAAUCAACUAAUAACUAUUUACUUAAUACCUCCAUUAUUCAUUGAAUAAACAACAACCUUGCAAUAUGA
Long non-coding RNA from Ipomoea triloba (trilobed morning glory), 605 nucleotides. RefSeq lists it as uncharacterized. NCBI's taxonomy places the organism in Eukaryota, Viridiplantae, Streptophyta, Magnoliopsida, Solanales, Convolvulaceae. The transcript is spliced from 3 exons. The record is from RefSeq and is a predicted model, not a curated record.